This 253-nucleotide ribosomal RNA is filed under the name uncultured bacterium. RNAcentral describes it as "partial 16S ribosomal RNA". It matches the Rfam family "Bacterial small subunit ribosomal RNA", at positions 524 to 776 of the family's 1533-position model. The record is from RNAcentral.
UACAGAGGGUGCAAGCGUUGUUCGGAAUUACUGGGUGUAAAGGGUUCGUAGGCGGUGUGGCAAGUCGGGAGUGAAAUCUCUGGGCUUAACUCAGGGGCUGCUUCCGAAACUGCUGUGCUAGAGUGUGGGAGAGGCGCGUGGAAUUGCAGGUGUAGCGGUGAAAUGCGUAGAUAUCUGCAGGAACACCCGUGGCGAAAGCGGCGCGCUGGACCACUACUGACGCUGAGGAACGAAAGCUAGGGGAGCAAACAGG